RNAcentral lists this ribosomal RNA (575 nucleotides) under uncultured eukaryote. RNAcentral describes it as "eukaryotic LSU rRNA". It matches the Rfam family "Eukaryotic large subunit ribosomal RNA", at positions 51 to 648 of the family's 3401-position model. The record is from RNAcentral.
CGGAGGAAAAGAAACCAACCGGGAUUGCCUUAGUAACGGCGAGUGAAGCGGCAAAAGCUCAAAUUUGAAAUCUGGCUCUAUUUUGGGGUCCGAAUUGUAAUUUGAAGAAGCGACUUUGGACCUGGCUCUUGUCUAUGUUCCUUGGAACAGGACGUCACAGAGGGUGAGAAUCCCGUGCGAUGAGAAGCCCAGGUUCGUGUAAAGCGUUUUCGACGAGUCGAGUUGUUUGGGAAUGCAGCUCUAAGUGGGUGGUAAAUUCCAUCUAAAGCUAAAUAUUGGCGAGAGACCGAUAGCGAACAAGUACAGUGAUGGAAAGAUGAAAAGAACUUUGAAAAGAGAGUGAAAAAGUACGUGAAAUUGUUGAAAGGGAAGGGCUUGAGAUCAGACUUUGUUUUUCCAUGGCGCUCUUUCGGGGGUGUCCUCUGGGUCUACAGGGCCAGCAUGGGUUUUGCGGGCGAGACAAGGACUCAGGAAUGUGGCUCUGCUUCGGUGGAGUGUUAUAGCCUGGGGUACUGGUCGCCAUGCGGGACCGAGGACUGCGGUACUAGGAUGCUGGCAUAAUGAUCUUAAGCCGC